RNAcentral lists this long non-coding RNA (423 nucleotides) under Sorghum bicolor (sorghum). RNAcentral describes it as "long non-coding RNA (SBIC_LNC013111)". The record is from RNAcentral. Lineage: Eukaryota; Viridiplantae; Streptophyta; Magnoliopsida; Poales; Poaceae.
UUAUAGAGGAAUCGGUGAUGAAUCAAAUAGUGUAUGUACAUGAUUUAUAAGUUACUAGAUUAAAGAUUUAAAGUAUUUCACAUGUUAUAGAUGACAUGAUCAUUUUUUUAAUUAAUAUGAGAUGAUAUGGACUUAGUGGAGAAUGAUGUAGACACCUUGUAUGAAGAGAUAAAAUAUUUAGUGGGUUGAGGAAUGAUGUAGAUACCUUGCAUGAAGAGAGAAUUUAUCUAGUGGGGUUUAGUUUUAUAAAAAUAUAUGAUGAUAUGAUAUAUUUUACAAUAAAAAAAAUAUUUUGUUGCGACUCACAAUAAAAAAAAUGUUGGUCAAUGUCCGAGAGACUCGUUCACAGUGGUUUCCCACUAGCCUUGUUUAGUUCCGAAAAGUGAAAAGUUUUCGGUACUGUAGCACUUUCGUUUGUUUGUG